RNAcentral lists this non-coding RNA (181 nucleotides) under Desulfuromonadales bacterium. RNAcentral's name for it is "6S RNA". It matches the Rfam family "6S / SsrS RNA". From Rfam's summary of the family: E. coli 6S RNA was the first non coding RNA to be sequenced, but its function was unknown until recently. It consists of 184 nucleotides that fold into an extended hairpin structure with a large single-stranded internal bulge. The record is from RNAcentral. Lineage: Bacteria; Pseudomonadati; Thermodesulfobacteriota; Desulfuromonadia; Desulfuromonadales.
UUCUCUCUGCCCUGUACGUGUGGCUAUAAUGCCCACGCGGAAUGUUUUUCGAACGGGGCGACUUCAAUGAGUGUGGUGAGCAGGACCGCCAUGUAGCGGGAAGCCUUAAGCACUCUUAAGUUACCCCACCUUGCUAUCUGUCGAUGUGAGGCCACGAGCCCACGGCAGGUGUGGAGAGUCG